CGGGAGGCGCAUGGCCAGCGGCUAUGGCCGAGGCUCCGACAGAUACCCGGGAGGAGUGGCACCGGGCGCGCGGCUGCUGGAAGCUCAUCCAGAACCUUGACUUCGCGAUUCAACAAUUUCAGUUCAACCCCAGAUUUAACAUUUCAGAUGAUUUGAAGGUCGGCUUUUUCACCACAGACCACGCUACUCAAACAGAUUCUAGUGAAAUUUUGCCAUUAAAGGAGUUGAGUUCCUGUACAAAAAAGUUAGUGAAGAUUGUUUCAUCCCUUGAGCAGGAUUAUAGGUUUGUCAAGCAAUUUCUUCAAAUGAAAUUUGAGGACCGGCUUCAAGAGGAAUCUUCCAAUAUCUUCAAUGAUCUACAUGACAGGAUCCUUGAAAUAGAAAGACGUUAUCAUCAGAAUGAGGAUACCAUGAGAAAAUGCUUUAACCAGCAGUUAGCUGAUGCCAUUGCUGAUAUCAGAGGAAUGUAUAAGAAAUAUUUUGAUGUUGAAGAAGAGAAGGCUGCUUUGCAAGAUGCAACAAAUAUCAAGCUGAAUAUUUUGGAAAAAAAGCUGAAAGAGAAAGAACGAAUUAUUAGGGAAUUGAAAGAAGAACUAGAACGUUGUGAAGAAGCUGGAUUUCUAAAACUUGACCUCUUUGCCAAAGAGACCAGCUCUCCAAGACAAACCUUUGAAAAGGAAAACUCAGAGUACAAACAGGAGAAUGAGAGACUGCUUCAAGUGAUUGCAGGUCUGGAAGAAGAAAUUCGACUCAAUAUCAAAGAAAAUUCAGUACUAGAAGAUGAAAUUAUAAAUCUCAAAGAGAUUUCAGAGCAGGAUCAGAGAACUAUUCAAAAGUUAAUGGAUAGCAGAGAAAGAUUAAGAUAUGAACUUGAGUGUGAAAAAUCAGUAGUUCAAGAUAUGAUUAAUAAACAGAAAGAAGACAUGGAGCUUAGAAAAAAGUACGAUAGUAACCUGAAAACAGGCUGGGGAAGAGAAGGCUCUUUGUCCCCAUGGCCCUCCCAUUCUGGGACUUUAUCCAGGAGUACGACACCUUUGAGGCCACGCUCUGCUGCCGCUCGUAGUACAUCACCUGUUAGGACUAAAAAAGUGAAGCUUUCAAAGAAAACUACAAAGGAAGAGCCUCCUCAAGAGCAAACUAAAAUCUCACCUAAGUUUCCUGAGGAUUCGGUGGAUACCCAACGUGAACCCUCCAAAAGAAAAAAAGAUGAAACGGGUCAGGUUAAACAUCUACCACCCACGAAGACGCAAGAAGAAAGGAAAGCGAAAGCCUCAGCGACGAGGGAUGAAGGGAGAAGAAUUUUGGAGAUGCACGUGGAAACGUUAAAGGCUAAUUUGGAGAAUCAGAAGAAGAAAUUAGAAAGAUGUAAAAAGGAAUCAGAGCAGAUAAACAAAAACUGGGAGAGGAAAUUCCAUAUUCUCAGGAACAGCUUUCAUGUCCUAAAGGAUGAGAUGUUUACUAGGCACACACUGUUUCGUCAGUUUGCAGUGCUCGCUGAUACAUCCUUCAAUUAUGUGAGAGUGAAACCUUUAUUUGUGCAGUCUAAAUUAAACUUGGAAGAAACCGCAUCUUCUUCAAGUGAUUAUCAUUUGACUUUGAUAGAAAAAAAGUACCCAGAAACAGUUAGUGAUCAGCUCUCCUUGCAUCAAUCACCCAGAGUGGGUCGUGUUUCUUCCCAGAGGGUCAGUGACUGGCCUUGGUCACAGGCAGUGAAUCGAGGAUCCUCCAAAGAACCUUGGGAGAAGAUAUGGGUACAUCAUCCUACUCCCCCACCCCCAAUGAAUGAUGUGGACCCAACUGGGCUUCUUAGAGAGACCACAGAAUAGAGGACCCUCCUCAUCCUGGAUGGCAUAUAAUGCCUGCCUCUUUAGCCAGAAAUACUGUCUCCAAGGCGUUUCUGAACCAUUGGAUUUCUCCAGAUUAGGAACACUAACUCAAGCACCGCAAUUUAGAAUUGGAACACGCCUUUUUCUCGCAUCUUUUCUGAGCCCCAAUGAAACCUCUCCUGCGCUCCUGCAGGGUGGGCUGGACGCACAGACCCUGAGGGGUCACCAAAUCCAUUCUAGUCGCCUGGGAUCAGAGUCUUUAACACAAAAUGAGAACUACUUGCUGCCUUCUGACCAGUGAACUAAGUCCUUUGAGAGUGAAGCAUACACAUGGAGGGGAGUUUGUAUUUCCUUUGGGAAAAUCCCCUAUUCUCUUCAUUGGCUACACGUGGCUCCGUAUCAUAAGGACUCCGUAAACAAGUCUUUAAUACGUGGGGAAACUUUUUGAAGUUUUGCUUUUUGGUAAGUAUGAAGAUCCAGUGCUGAGUUUAAGUGUUCAGUCUGGAAUGUCAGGUGCCAUUUACUGAAACGCCUGGUUGCUUUUCUCUGUGCGUAAUGUUCAACUUGGUCUUUUCUCUUCUCCUAAAUACAAGUUCAAGUUCGGGCCUGUCA
Molecule: non-coding RNA, 2438 nt
Organism: Ictidomys tridecemlineatus (thirteen-lined ground squirrel)
Lineage: Eukaryota; Metazoa; Chordata; Mammalia; Rodentia; Sciuridae
Source: RefSeq, a predicted model, not a curated record